AUUAUAACUUCAAAAUCUAGAAUUGUCUCUUAUUAAUGAUUCGGAAAUAGAAAAAACUUGGUUAUGUUAUUAUUCUUCGUUGGUUCGUUUAAUGGAAAACACUUUGCUACAAGAAAUAAUGGAAAUUUUAUAACGAAUUUAAUAAUGUUUUUAUAAUUAUAUAUAAAGAAUUAAUUGCAAGAAAAAGUUAUAUACAACCUUAACUCAUAUGGGACUACCUCCUGAAUUUAAGCAUAUUAAUUAGGGGAGGAAAAGAAACUAACAAGGAUUUUCUUAGUAGCGGCGAGCGAAAAGAAAACAGUUUAGCACUAAGUCACUUUGUCUAUAUGGCAAAUGUGAGAUGCAGUGUAUUUAGCGUCAAUAUUCUAGUAUGAGAAAUUAACGAUUUAAUGAGGCCAUUUACCCAUAGAGGGUGCCAGGGCCGUAUAACGUUAAUGAUUACUAGAUGAUGUUUCCAAAGAGUCGUGUUGCUUGAUAGUGCAGCACUAAGUGGGUGGUAAACUCCAUCUAAAACUAAAUAUAACAAUGAGACCGAUAGUAAACAAGUACCGUGAGGGAAAGUUGAAAAGAACUCUGAAUAGAGAGUUAAACAGUACGUGAAACUGCUUAGAGGUAAAGCCCGAUGAACAUGAAUAUCCGUUAUGGAAAAUUCAUCAUUAAAAUUGUAAUAUUUAAAUAAUAUUAUGAGGAUAGUGUGCAUUUUUUCCAUAUAAGGACAUUGUAAUCUAUUAGCAUAUACAAAAUGUAUCAUAAAAUAUAACUUAUAGUUAUAAUUUUAUAAUGGCAUAAUUAUCAUUGAUUUUUGUGUUUAUUAUAUGCCCUUGUAUGAUUAACAAUGCGAAAGAUUCAGGAUACCUUCGGGACCCGUCUUGAAACACGGACCAAGGAGUCUAACAUAUGUUCAAGUUAUUGGGAUAUAAACCUAAUAGCGUAACUUGACUAAAAUUGGGAUUAGUUUUUUAACUAUUUAUAGGUAAUUAAUACAAUUAUGUAUAAUGUAUAUUUAUAUUAUUUAUGCCUCUAACUGGAACGUACCUUGAGCAUAUAUGCUGUGACCCGAAAGAUGAUGAACUAUACUUGAUCAGGCUGAAGUCAGGGGAAACUCUGAUAGAAGACCGAAACAGUUCUUGCAAAUCGAUUGUCAAAAUUGAGUAUAGGGGCGAAAGACCAAUCGAACCAUCUAGUAGCUGGUUCCCUCCGAAGUUUCCAUCAGGAUAGCUGGUGCAUUUUAAUAUAAUAUAAAAUAAUCUUAUCUGGUAAAGCGAAUGAUUAGAGGCCUUAGGGUCGAAACGAUCUUAACCUAUUCCCAAAUUAACAACUCAUGCAGAUACCAUGAAAGCGUUGGUUGCUUAAAACAGCAGGACGGUGAUCAUGGCAGUCGAAAUCCGCUAAGGAGUGUGUAACAACUCACCUGCCGAAGCAACUAGCCCUUAAAAUGGAUGGCGCUUAAAUUGUAUACCUAUACAUUACCGCUAAAGUAGAUGAUUUAUAUUACUUGUGAUAUAAAUUUUAAAACUUUAGUGAGUGGAAAGGUACAAUGACGCGCAUGAAUGUAUUAACGAGAUUCCUACUGUUCCUAUAUACUCACUAUCAGUGACGGGAAAUAAGCUUGUGGCAGAGCUCUUUCGCCGGCCGAAGAGCAGUAAUCCGAAGCAGUUCCGGAGCAGUCAAUGUGCCGGUAACUAGAGGUUGCCCGCAGGGGUCAAUCAGCGGCCCAUUUAUUUGGGACAUGCUGAUGGACGUACUGCUUCAGCGCCUCGAGCCGUAUUGCCUGCUAAGUGCAUACGCGGAUGACCUGCUUCUUCUCAUCGAGGGAAAUUCCCGAGCCGUACUAGAGGAAAAAGGAGCGCAACUGAUUUCCAUCGUUGAAACGUGGGGAGUGGAAAUAGGCGUUGCCGUUUCAACCAGCAAGACGGUAAUAAUGCUGCUCAAAGGUGCCUUGAGACGUGCGCCUACGGUAAGAUUCGCUGGAGCGAACCUGCCGUAUGUGCGUAGCUGUCGGCGGUACCUUGGCAUCACGGUCAGUGAAGGAAUGAAAUUCCUCACGCACAUAGCUUUGCUUCGCCAGCGGAUGACCCGAGUCGUUGUAGCAUUGGCGC
RNAcentral lists this ribosomal RNA (2099 nucleotides) under Drosophila erecta. RNAcentral's name for it is "eukaryotic LSU rRNA". It matches the Rfam family "Eukaryotic large subunit ribosomal RNA", at positions 1 to 2472 of the family's 3401-position model. Lineage: Eukaryota; Metazoa; Arthropoda; Insecta; Diptera; Drosophilidae. The record is from RNAcentral.